AACGAAUGCUGGCGGCAGGCCUUACACAUGCAAGUCGAACGUGAAAGUCCUUCGGGAUGAGUAAAGUGGCGCACGGGUGAGUAACGCGUGGGAACAUGCCCUUCAGUACGGGAUAACAGCGGGAAACUGCUGCUAAUACCGUAUAUUCCCUACGGGGGAAAGAUUUAUCGCUGAAGGAUUGGCCCGCGUUAGAUUAGCUAGUUGGUGAGGUAAUGGCUCACCAAGGCUACGAUCUAUAGCCGGUCUGAGAGGACGAUCGGCCACACUGGAACUGAGACACGGUCCAGACUCCUACGGGAGGCAGCAGUGGGGAAUAUUGGACAAUGGGCGAAAGCCUGAUCCAGCCAUGCCGCGUGAGUGAUGAAGGCCUUAGGGUUGUAAAGCUCUUUUGGCGGGGAAGAUAAUGACGGUACCCGCAGAAUAAGCCCCGGCUAACUUCGUGCCAGCCGCCGCAGUAA
RNAcentral lists this ribosomal RNA (458 nucleotides) under uncultured bacterium. Its description in RNAcentral is "partial 16S ribosomal RNA". It matches the Rfam family "Bacterial small subunit ribosomal RNA", at positions 29 to 523 of the family's 1533-position model. The record is from RNAcentral.